UGGGGAAUUUUGGACAAUGGGGGAAACCCUGAUCCAGCGAUGCCGCGUGUGUGAAGAAGGCCUGCGGGUUGUAAAGCACUUUCGAUGGGGAGGAAAGGUCCAAGGUUAAUACCCUUGGACAGUGACGUUACCCAUAUAAGAAGCACCGGCAAACUCUGUGCCAGCAGCCGCGGUAAUACAGAGGGUGCAAGCGUUAGUCGGAGUUACUGGGCGUAAAGCGUGCGUAGGUGGAUGUCAAAGUCGAUUGUGAAAGCCCCGGGCUUAACCUGGGAACUGCAGUCGAUACUGGGCAUCUCAAGUAAGGUAGAGGAAAGUGGAAUUCCCAGUGUAGCGGUGGAAUGCGUAGAUAUUGGGAAGAACACCAAUGGCGAAGGCAGCUUUCUGGACCUAUACUGACACUGAAGCACGAAAGCGUGGGGAGCAAACAGG
RNAcentral lists this ribosomal RNA (429 nucleotides) under uncultured bacterium. Its description in RNAcentral is "bacterial SSU rRNA". It matches the Rfam family "Bacterial small subunit ribosomal RNA", at positions 355 to 776 of the family's 1533-position model. The record is from RNAcentral.